Long non-coding RNA from Talpa occidentalis (Iberian mole), 2691 nucleotides. RefSeq lists it as uncharacterized. The transcript has 3 exons. The record is from RefSeq and is a predicted model, not a curated record. NCBI's taxonomy places the organism in Eukaryota, Metazoa, Chordata, Mammalia, Eulipotyphla, Talpidae.
UCUGGCUUCUUUCAUAUGGCUAUUGUCUUUUUUUCUUUUGAAGAAAACAUCUGUGUUCUUAUGUCUUCUGUCUAGUCUUGACAUCACAAAGGCAAAAGUAAUGUGAGGCUUCUGGGCAGGCGGGACACAACACUUGGUGGCUUCUUCCCACAGUACCUGAGACCGCUGGUGCAUCCUGAGCUAAGAUUCUCGCUUUAAACUUCUGGGAAGUUGAGGAGGAGAAUACAACAUGGAAAGAAAGGUGAAGAGAAUUAGAAGAGAAUGAACAGAAUGAAGAAGCAGGUUUUCUAGAGAAAAGAUAACACAUCUGUCCAGAUGAUGGUUUUUCCUUCAAAGGGAAAGCUUCUGUUCAGGACAUAAAAUUGGGCUUGUCCACAUCAUUUCCAGGAGAACUUGGCAGGUGGAAAACCAUCAAGUGUUGCCAGUGACAUUCAGUCCCUAAAGCAGCUUUUAUUUCAGACAUAGCCGACCUGGCACAACCACUACCUCCCACAGUGGGCUCCAGGGCAGUGCUGCCCUUGAACCCAACGAGCAAGUGUGUCUGUGCUAAGGCAACAUGUUGAGGGGGAGUCUGAGGAGCCAUGAUAGACCCUGUUAAUGAACAAAUAAUUUAGAUGGAAGGACUGGCACAGCCACGAUGAUGGAAAACAGUAUGGACAUUCUGCAAAAAUUGAAGCAGAACUGACAUAUAACCUAGUGAUUCCAAUUCGGGACAUUUAUCUGAAGGAACAAAAUCACUAUCUCAAGACGAUAUCUGCACCCUCACGUUCACGGCAGCAUUAUUCACAGUAGCCACGAUGUGGAAACAACUUAAGUGUCCAUAGAUGGAUGAAUGGAUAAAGAAAAUGUGGGGUAUAUAAAUGGAAUAUUAUUCAGUCAUGAAAAGGAAAUCCAGCUCUUUGUGACAAUAUGGGUGGACUUGAGGGCAUUAUGCUGAGUCAAAUAUGUCAGAGAAAGACAAUAUCACAUGAUGUCAAUUAAAUGUGAAUUGUUUUUAAAAAAAACCAAAGCUCAUAGAUACAGAGAACAGACUGGUGGCUGUCGGAGGUGAGAUGGCGGACAAAAUGGGUGAAGGCAGCCAAAAGAUACACCCUUCCAGUUAAGAUGAUAAAUAAGUUCUGGGACCAUCAUUACCAUGUGAUGACUAUAGCUAAUAUGACUGUAUUGUGUAUUUCAACAUUGCUAAGAGAGCAAAUCUUAAAAGUUCUCAAGAAAAACAGCAACUAAUGACAUGAUGGAUGUCAACUUUACUGUUGAGGAUCAGUUUACAAUAUAUGCAUCCAUCAGAUCAUCAUGCUAUCUGUCUAGAAUAAUACAAUAUUAUAUGUCAUCUAUUAUCUCAAUAAAACAGGGCAUUUAUCUGAAGAAACAAGAUCUGAAUACCAAGUAGAAAGGGGCCAAGAAGAGACAGGAGUGGUGGAAGCCUGGAUUUCACACCUGCCUCCCAGCAGCCUACUCUUCCUAUGCAGUUGAUUUUGGCCUUUGAAGAGGAGAUAAAUCAUUCAGUUGCCAGGUGUCCCCUGCUCUUGAUGAAUGCAAAUGACUGCUAACAGCCGUGUAAUCCGAUUCCCUGUUGGUUAUUGUGUAGACCCCAGCUCAUGGACUGGCUGACUCUUUUUAGUCUGGGCAUGAGUUGCAAUUGCCAUCUGGCUAAUGCCAACACAGCGGAGCAGGAAGAUGCAGGCCACCCUCACGCUGUAGGGUUCUACACCUUGAGUCUCAGGUUCCACCCACAAGGAGACAGCUGCCUGCCUCUUGGACACUCCCCACUCUGCAGCCUUGUCAGAGCCACUGCACAAUCCUGCAGCGAGUCCUCAAACUCAUGCAGUGACAAGCGCGAGCAUCUCCCCCGAGAAUAAUGCCACGGCGCGCUCUCGCCGAGUCGGUACUCAGAGGACACUGCUCCAAUGCCGCUGAGCAUUACCGUCCCUGGGAGGAUAAUCACAGAUGUUUUCCCCCAUCCCUUCCUCUUCCCUUGAUCUGCAUAGUUGUCAACAAAUGAGGUCACUGUGCCUUUACUGGCGAUUGUGCGCUCAGCCACGGAGCUGUAAGUUCAACGCCACGAUUACACAUCAGCGCUGGUAAGGAGAGAUGACAUCGGUCCCCAAAUCUGCCAGCCAGGCAGCCACCUCUCUGCAGCAGAAUGCCACUCAGACUUGGGCAUCUCUUUUUCUAGGCCACCCCUUUGCUGACAUUUCAAGAAUGUUGAAGUUUAAAAAAAAAUCUUGCUUAGGAGAUCAAGCACAAACUCUCAUGUUUCUGAAUGUAAAGAAAAAAAAAAAAAAAACCAAAACACCACAAUGCAGCUUGAUUAUUGGAAUAUUAUGCUUGUAUCUCUUCCAGGAGCCAUGUCAACCCUCACACCGGCUGUUAACAGUCAUCUGCAUUCAUCAAGAGCAGGGGACACCUGGCAACUUAAUGAUUUAUCUCCUCAUCAAAGGCCAAAAUUGUCUGCGUAGGAAGAGUAGGCUGCCGGGAAUGCCAGGCGGAGGCCGGUGUGCAAUCCAGGCUUCCAACGCUCCUGUCUCUUCUUGGCCCUUCCUACUGCUAAUCCGUAUUACACUUGGCUGCAGAGAGGGCAGCUCCUUUUUUGCCAGAUCGGCGCGGGCUGCUGUGGAACUUAGACUGCAAAGGGCUCCCGAUUCAGAGGAAAAGGGAUUAUCUUUAUAAAAUGGCACUCAAGGAGUGUGG